GACGAACGCUGGCGGCGUGCUUAACACAUGCAAGUCGAACGGGAUUUAGUAAACAGAAACCUCGGUGGAAGAUUACUAAUGAGAGUGGCGAACGGGUGAGUAACGCGUGAGCAACCUGCCUAUGACAGUGGGAUAGCCUCGGGAAACCGGGAUUAAUACCGCAUAAAAUCGUAGAAACACAUGUUUUAACGGUCAAAGAUUUAUCGGUCAUAGAUGGGCUCGCGUCUGAUUAGCUAGUUGGUGAGAUAACAGCCCACCAAGGCGACGAUCAGUAGCCGGUAAGAGAGGAUGAACGGACACAUUGGAACUGAGACACGGUCCAAACUACUACGGGAGGCAGCAGUGGGGAAUAUUGCAAAAUGGGGGAAACCCUGAUGCAGCGACGCCGCGUGAACGAAGAAGGUAUUCGUAUCGUAAAGUUCUGUCCUAUGGGAAGAUAAUGACAGUACCAUAGAAGAAAGCUCCGGCUAAAUACGUG
This 478-nucleotide ribosomal RNA is filed under the name uncultured bacterium. Its description in RNAcentral is "partial 16S ribosomal RNA". It matches the Rfam family "Bacterial small subunit ribosomal RNA", at positions 28 to 507 of the family's 1533-position model. The record is from RNAcentral.